UACGUCUCGGCCCGGCUGGCCCGGCCGUUGGCGGUGGUCGCCGCGACGGCGCGCCGGUUCGCCGCCGGCGAGCGCAGC
RNAcentral lists this transfer RNA (78 nucleotides) under Actinoplanes xinjiangensis. Its description in RNAcentral is "tRNA-Ala". The record is from RNAcentral. Lineage: Bacteria; Bacillati; Actinomycetota; Actinomycetes; Micromonosporales; Micromonosporaceae.